AGUGAACGCUGGCGGUAGGCCUAACACAUGCAAGUCGAACGGCAGCACAGUAAGAGCUUGCUCUUACGGGUGGCGAGUGGCGGACGGGUGAGGAAUACAUCGGAAUCUACUUUUUCGUGGGGGAUAACGUAGGGAAACUUACGCUAAUACAGCAUACGACCUACGGGUGAAAGCAGGGGAUCUUCGGACCUUGCGCGAUUGAAUGAGCCGAUGUCGGAUUAGCUAGUUGGCGGGGUAAAGGCCCACCAAGGCGACGAUCCGUAGCUGAUCUGAGAGGAUGAUCAGCCACACUGGAACUGAGACACGGUCCAGACUCCUACGGGAGGCAGCAGUGGGGAAUAUUGGACAAUGGGCGCAAGCCUGAUCCAGCCAUACCGCGUGGGUGAAGAAGGCCUUCGGGUUGUAAAGCCCUUUUGUUGGGAAAGAAAAGCAGCAGGUUAAUACCCCGCUGUUCUGACGGUACCCAAAGAAUAAGCACCGGCUAACUUCGUG
This 492-nucleotide ribosomal RNA is filed under the name uncultured bacterium. RNAcentral's name for it is "partial 16S ribosomal RNA". It matches the Rfam family "Bacterial small subunit ribosomal RNA", at positions 29 to 507 of the family's 1533-position model. The record is from RNAcentral.